CCUGGAGUAGGAAAAUGGCAACCCACUCCAGUAUUCUUGCCUGGAAAAUCCCAUGGGCAAAGCAGCCUGGUGGGCUACAGUCCAGGGGUUGCCAGAGAGUCGGGCAUGACUGAGCACACACGCACACAUCUUCCUAUAAGGCACUGCCACAGCAGAAUGAUCCAAGUCUAACACUGUGAGGACAACUGUGAUUUACAAAUAAAACAGGGAUUUUUUUUUUUUUUACUUUUCCUUUGGCACAUCCAGUGAACAAUUGUAAUCUUUAUCAAGGUGCUAGCAUUUUCAGUGACCCAACUGCCAAAUGCAGUAUUACUGAGUUACUAUUUUAUUCUACAUGAUUUCUUGGUUUGCAAGAAAGAGCUCUUUAAGUCUUUUUGUCAAGGCUGGGCGCAACUUGAUAAUCAAAGUUUGGGAAAUUGUACCUAAUGGUCAUUCAGAUUGGCAGGGUUUAGUGACAGAAGCUCCAUGUAUAUUGAGGAUAUUUAAGGUGACAUCCAAACUUGAAAAGCAUCAGGUUGCUGUAGCCCAGUUUUAGAUGAGUCACAUUCCAUCAUGUACUAAGGCAUCUGCAUUCCUUUCAAACAAACUUGUUUCAAGUUUCUUAUACACAAAGGACCUUUUGUGUAUAUUUGGCUGGAUUUCAAGUUUUGCAGUAUUUUAUGUCUGUACACUUGGCUACUCUAUCUCCAUCUUUUCUGUAACAAUUCACAACAUAUUAGAAACAUUUCACCCCACGCUGAGUAUAUCUAAGAUAGAGUAUCAUACUGUGUGACUUUGUGAAACUAGACUUUGGAUUAAGAAAUGUAUAUUGUCUCUGGAUGGUAUUUUUGCAUUGCACACUCCAGCAUAACAUAAAUGUAGGAGUUGACAAAUACUGCUUACAUUUUAAUAAGAUCAUUCAUCAGAGGAAAUCAUGCAUGUGCUUUGUAAAUAGACUGUGGAUAACUAAACAGAUUGCAGGAAUAUGUUGGAUUUGAUUUGGGCAGUGGCCACAGAUAUUUGACUUCUAUAUUAGUGUCUGUGAGUCAAGUCAGGUAAUAAACCAAAAUAGGUAUAGAACUGAUAUUUUUAAGUCUUGAAAGAUGCUUUCAAGGCAGAGUAAAAUAUUGAAGAUUUACAUGCUGUAUACAAGCAGUAAAAUGUAAGCUGCUUUUUACUCUCAGUUCUCCAGAAGUGAUGGCAUUUUUUCAGUGAAUACAAUGCUGUUGGAAAAUUUAAAAAAAAAAGAUCUUGGAAAACGAAGACGGGUCUUGUUUAAAAUGUCUCUUCAGCUUUGGCAUAUUUCAAACCUGAAACAACUAUUGAAAGCAUUACUGUGUUUUGUAGCCUACAUUCCACAACAGCUCUAUUAUUCAGGUAAACCACUUGAAAUAAGAUGUUUGGGACCUUUACUGUAAUAUUUUUCAUUAAGGAACAAUAUCCUAUUUUGUAAAGCAUUUCCUUAUGUGUGACUUUAAACUGUAAAAUUAAACAUUGGUUUUGUGGUUUCAGUGGGCAUAAUAAAUGUAAAUUGUAAAAUAGGUUAAAGUAUGUACGGCAUAUAAUAUGUUUUAGAGGUAGAAACUACUGUCUGUUCUCAUAACAGCAAUACGACCAAGCUAGGUCUUAAUGAAGCCCCAGGUUCUCUAUAAUCUCUACCAUCUCUCAUCCACUUUGGCACAGGCCUUUAAUACUUUGUCUGUCUUAAACUAUAAUGAACUUUUGCUUCAAGUUCUUCUUACCAGACCAUCAGCCCCUACAUCUGUCUAGUAUCAAACUUCUGAUGUUAAAUUGGAACCACAAGCAACAUAACCUACCUACUUUAUCCUUACUUUUAUAAAGAUAAAUGUAUUCUAGCUAUAAAACUAAAAAGCCAAAAAAAUAAUGCAUGCACGGAAAUUUAAAAGGCAUUAACAUUCACUAGCAAAAGGCUAUUUAUUUGGUAUCAAAUUUAUAGCAUUAAGAUUCUGAAGGACAUAAAUUCCUUCUAAAACUGAAAUCAUUACUAGUUAGUAUACAUUGCAAACCCUGAAUUUCUCUUUCUUAUCAAACAGUACUUCAGAAUUGUACUUUAAAUUUUCUUCUUGGUAGGAUGUAUAAUGUUGAAAGAAAU
Molecule: long non-coding RNA, 2092 nt
Filed under: Bos taurus (domestic cattle)
Lineage: Eukaryota; Metazoa; Chordata; Mammalia; Artiodactyla; Bovidae
Description: long non-coding RNA NONBTAT027128
Source: RNAcentral